RNAcentral lists this long non-coding RNA (450 nucleotides) under Struthio camelus australis. RNAcentral describes it as "lncRNA (ENSSCUG00000015720.1)". The record is from RNAcentral. Lineage: Eukaryota; Metazoa; Chordata; Aves; Struthioniformes; Struthionidae.
CUGAAUUUGACUCUAUGUCUGUUUUCUUUAGAUGGCCCCUGUUCCUGAGUAAUACCCCAUAGGAGCCCCACACUACUGAUGUAUUGCAUUAAUAUAUCAUCAGUAGCAGUUGUCAUUCCAAUGAUGUAUUAGUGUAAUACAUGAGAACGAGGCUCACUGAUGAUGUAUUUAGGCCUUACAAUAUGGCAUUGUCCAGGGAAGCAAGGGUCCAAUAAGAGAUUCAUUACAAUUACAGUAUGAAGUCAGCUAAUGCACUGCAGGUUGGGAGAUGCAUUUCUCGUACCAGGUCCCUCUGAAAAACUAGACAGUCAAUGUCUUUCUUGGACAAACAAGAAAGGAGCCUUCACUGUGUUAUGGAAGCAGCCAAGCCCUAGGGCACGGCGAAUCAUGAGUAAGCCAGGUUCUUGCUAUAUGUGGACCCAUCAUGUUCUCCUGUGGGACACAUCUUAA